AUCUGGCUAGCUCAGUCGGUAGAACAUGAGACUCUUAAUCUCAGGGUUGUGGGUUUGUGCCCCAUAUUGGGUG
Molecule: transfer RNA, 73 nt
Filed under: Mesocricetus auratus (golden hamster)
Lineage: Eukaryota; Metazoa; Chordata; Mammalia; Rodentia; Cricetidae
Rfam family: tRNA
About the family: Transfer RNA (tRNA) molecules are approximately 80 nucleotides in length.
Source: Rfam by way of RNAcentral